RNAcentral lists this ribosomal RNA (497 nucleotides) under uncultured bacterium. Its description in RNAcentral is "partial 16S ribosomal RNA". It matches the Rfam family "Bacterial small subunit ribosomal RNA", at positions 28 to 507 of the family's 1533-position model. The record is from RNAcentral.
GACGAACGCUGGCGGCGUGCCUAAUACAUGCAAGUAGAACGCUGAAGCGAGGAGCUUACUCUUCUUGGAUGAGUUGCGAACGGGUGAGUAACGCGUAGGUAACCUGCCUUGUAGCGGGGGAUAACUAUUGGAAACGAUAGCUAAUACCGCAUAACAAUGGAUGACACAUGUCAUUUAUUUGAAAGGGGCAAUUGCUCCACUACAAGAUGGACCUGCGUUGUAUUAGCUAGUAGGUGAGGUAAUGGCUCACCUAGGCGACGAUACAUAGCCGACCUGAGAGGGUGAUCGGCCACACUGGGACUGAGACACGGCCCAGACUCCUACGGGAGGCAGCAGUAGGGAAUCUUCGGCAAUGGGGGAAACCCUGACCGAGCAACGCCGCGUGAGUGAAGAAGGUUUUCGGAUCGUAAAGCUCUGUUGUAAGUCAAGAACGGGUGUGAGAGUGGAAAGUUCACACUGUGACGGUAGCUUACCAGAAAGGGACGGCUAACUACGUG